Molecule: transfer RNA, 72 nt
Filed under: Camelus bactrianus (Bactrian camel)
Lineage: Eukaryota; Metazoa; Chordata; Mammalia; Artiodactyla; Camelidae
Also listed under: 1 other name
Rfam family: tRNA
About the family: Transfer RNA (tRNA) molecules are approximately 80 nucleotides in length. Their secondary structure includes four short double-helical elements and three loops (D, anti-codon, and T loops). Further hydrogen bonds mediate the characteristic L-shaped molecular structure. tRNAs have two regions of fundamental functional importance: the anti-codon, which is responsible for specific mRNA codon recognition, and the 3' end, to which the tRNAs corresponding amino acid is attached (by aminoacyl-tRNA synthetases). tRNAs cope with the degeneracy of the genetic code in two manners: having more than one tRNA (with a specific anti-codon) for a particular amino acid; and 'wobble' base-pairing, i.e. permitting non-standard base-pairing at the 3rd anti-codon position.
Source: Rfam by way of RNAcentral
GAGGGUGUAGCUCAGUGGUAGAGUGCAUGCUGAGUAUGCAUGAGGUCCUGGGUUCAAUCCCCAGUACCCCCA